GCAUAACGCGAAGAACCUUACCAGGUCUUGACAUCCCAUUGACCGGUCCUUAACCGGGCCUUCCCUUCGGGGCAAUGGAGACAGGUGGUGCAUGGUUGUCGUCAGCUCGUGUCGUGAGAUGUUGGGUUAAGUCCCGCAACGAGCGCAACCCCUAUCCUUAGUAGCCAGCAGUCCGGCUGGGCACUCUAGGGAGACUGCCAGGGAUAACCUGGAGGAAGGCGGGGAUGACGUCAAAUCAUCAUGCCCCUUAUGAUCUGGGCUACACACGUGCUACAAUGGUGGCUACAAAGAGAAGCAAACUCGCGAGGGGGAGCAAAUCUCAGAAAGGCCAUCCCAGUUCGGAUUGUAGUCUGCAACUCGACUACAUGAAGCUGGAAUCGCUAGUAAUCGCGAAUCAGAAUGUCGCGGUGAAUACGUUCCCGGGUCUUGUACACACCG
Molecule: ribosomal RNA, 438 nt
Filed under: uncultured bacterium
Lineage: Bacteria
Description: bacterial SSU rRNA
Rfam family: Bacterial small subunit ribosomal RNA
Source: RNAcentral